Molecule: long non-coding RNA, 1687 nt
Organism: Bactrocera neohumeralis
Lineage: Eukaryota; Metazoa; Arthropoda; Insecta; Diptera; Tephritidae
Exons: 2
Source: RefSeq, a predicted model, not a curated record
AACAUGCGAUGCCGAAGUUAAUUGACUAAUAAAUUGAAAUUCGUUUUAUAACUUUUAACAUUCAAUUUGGUAAUAUGUCCCUUAGGCGUCUGUUAAAUACCCAAUACUACAAUAUGUGCGAUGUGUUUUUUUAUGUUAUAUCUCAACACUGUUUUUAUACUCUCGUAACAAAGUUGCUAAGGAGAGUAUUAUAGUUUUGUUCACAUAACGGUUGUUUGUAAGUCCUAAAACUAAAAGAGUUAGAUAUAGGAUUAUAUAUACCAAAGUGAUCAGGGUGACGAGUAGAGUUUAAACCCGGAUGUCUGUCCGUCCGUCCGUCUGUCCGUCCGUCCGUGCAAGCUGUAACUUGAGUAAAAAUUGAGAUAUGAUGAAACUUGGUGCACGUAUUUCUUGGCUCCGUAAGAAGGUUAGGUUCGAAGAUGGGGAAAAUCGGCCCACUGCCACGCCCACAAAAUGGCGAAAACCGAAAACCUAUAAAGUGUCAACUAAGCUAUAAAUAAAGAUAAUAAAAUGAAAAUUGGCACAAAGGAUCGCUUUAGGGAGCAUAUUUGGACGUAAUUUUUUUGGAAAAGUGGUCGUGGCCCCGCCCCCUACUAAGUUUUUUGUACAUAUCUCGGAAACUACUACAGCUAUGUCAACCAAACUCUAUAGAGUCGUUUCCUUCAGGCAUUUCCAUAUACAGUUCAAAAAUUGAAAUCGGAUAAUAACCUCGCCCACCUCCCAUACAAAGGUUAUGUUGAAAAUCACUAAAGUUGCGUUAACCGACUAACAAAAAACGUCAGAAACACUAAAUUUUACGGGAGAAAUGGCAGAAGAAAGCUGCACCCAUGCUUUUUUUAAAUUUAAAAUGGGCGUGGCGUCGCCCACUUAUGGACCAAAAACCAUAUCUCGGGAACUACUCUACCGAUUUCAAUGAAAUUCAGUAUAUAAUAUUUUCUUAACACUCUGAUGACAUCUACGAAAUCGGUUCACAACCACGCCUUCUUCCAAUAUAACGCUAUUUUGAAUUCCAUCUGAUGCCCUCCUCUGUAUAAUAUAUACAUUAGGAAAUGAAAAUACAAUUCAAUACUCAAAGUACACAAAUUGAUCUAAUCUAAUUAAUUUUACAGCAAAAUAAGAAAAUAUGUAAAUGACGGAUAAUGAAAUCUCGAUUAUCACUUUAUCAUGCGAGACUAUAAAAUGUUCGGUGACACCCGAACUUAGCACUUUCUUACUUGUUUAUUUAUGGUAUCUUUCUUAAAGUAUUAUGUUUAUAAAAAGUAUAUCGAAGAGCGUAAAAUAUAUUUGUUAAUAUCAGGAAUAUUAAAUUUAAAGCAAUUUAAACAAAUUUUGCCCAAUUGAUAAAUGUAUGAUUAUGCAAAAACGCAUUUUUUUAAAGAUAUUUUGUUAAAAAAAAUACCUGUACAUUAUUUACUCAUUUUUAUCUAUGUAUAUUCUGAGGAAACCUCAUCUGAUUUGUGAGGAAAAUAAAAACAGACCAAGCAAUAUUAAGAAAUGAACGCCCAAGAAAAUUGAGAUUUCGGAGUGUGAAAGAAAAACUUAAGAGCAGCUGCAGCACUACAGUAUAUUAAUAUACAGUAUGCAGUAUAUAUAAUAACACAAGUAUAUUUUUAUUCGCACAUGUAUUAAAUACAUUCAUACAUAUUUACAAAUAAAAUUUUGUACGAAUUACUUAAACAUACAUACA